Molecule: ribosomal RNA, 414 nt
Filed under: uncultured microorganism
Description: bacterial SSU rRNA
Rfam family: Archaeal small subunit ribosomal RNA
Source: RNAcentral
GUGCACCAGUCGAGAAACUUCACAAUGUGUGAAAGCACGAUGAGGGAAUCCCAAGUGCUUGCACGUAAGUGUAAGCUGUUUCUCUGUCUAAAACGCAGAGAGAGUAAGGGCUGGGUAAGACGGGUGCCAGCCGCCGCGGUAAUACCUGCAGCUCGAGUGGUGACCGUUAUUAUUGGGCCUAAAACGUCCGUAGCCGGUUUAAUAAAUGCCUGGGUAAAUCGGACCGCUUAACGGUUCGAAUUCCGGGUAGACUGUUAAACUUGAGACCGGGAGAAGUUAGAGGUACUCCUGGGGUAGAGGUGAAAUUCUGUAAUCCUAGGGGGACCACCAGUGGCGAAGGCGUCUAACUAGAACGGGUCUGACGGUGAGGGACGAAGCCCUGGGGCGCAAACGGGGAUUAGAUACCCCGGUAGU